This is a long non-coding RNA of Mesocricetus auratus (golden hamster), 3047 nucleotides long. RefSeq lists it as uncharacterized. The transcript is spliced from 3 exons. The record is from RefSeq and is a predicted model, not a curated record. Lineage: Eukaryota; Metazoa; Chordata; Mammalia; Rodentia; Cricetidae.
AAGCAAACAGACAUGCUGUUCCCCUUGCACUAGACUGAGCAGUUGUUCCUAACCUGCUUCACGUGCAAGGAGACUCAACCACCACCAACCCCAGGACAACUGAGAGUGGAACUUCUGGAAGGAACAGAAGCAGAGCAAAUGAGCACCCAGAGGUGGGGUUUGGUGGCCUUCUCUUGAUGACAUCACAGCUCCCCCUGAAAGUGACCCUGUGAAUAACCCUUCCCUCCCAAUCCCUUGCUGAAGGCUGGAUCUAUGGGGUGGAGAUCAGACCCCAGUCCGCCCCAACCCGGCCAGAGCCCUCUUGGCAGAUCUCACUGUAUCCAGACAAACUCUGUCUCUAAACUGAACUCCGACCCCAGCAAGCCACAGGUCACUCCGCGGCCUGGGUCUAAGGGUCGCCUCUGGGAAAUUUCCCAGUCCGGGGACGGUCAGGGUUCAGUUCCAGUGUGGGCGCCCAGGGAGGCAGCAACCCGCGCUGUCAAGCGCAAGGUAGCAAACUUUCCGCGGUCCCUCUCCCCACCCCCACGCCACAGGGGUGCGUCUCCACGAAGAGCUCGCCUUUCCCAGCCCGCCAGAGACAACCACAGCACGUGAUGCGCAGAAACAAAAAUAAACACUUCCCCUUCCCGGACCGCCACGGCGAGCAGGGGGCGCCCUGCGCUAUCCCGGAGUCGCACACCCCACACCCCACCCCUGCCGCCCCUAAGGCAGUCCCCACGGGCACCGGGAGAAUGUGGCCCCUGCCCCGCGACGCCCUACUCCUACCUCUCGGAUUUGGUGAACUUCCGGAACGCCUGGCGCAGGUCGUGGAAGGACCUGUCAAUAUCACAGGAGCCAUUAUUAUCUACUUACAACUUUAAAAGGUAACUAAAGUGAUAAAACACCAUGGCCAAAAGCAACUUGGAGAAGAAAAGGCUUACUUGAUUUAUAGGAUACAGUCCAUUAUCGUGAAGAACUAAAACCCGAAGUCAGAAACUGAAGUAGAGAUCUUGGAAGAACACUUCUUACUGGCUGAUUUCCUCUGACUGGCUCAUCCAGAGUCCACUGGACCAAGGGUGGCACCACCUGUCCACAGUGGGCUGGACCCAUCAACUUCAAUCAGCAAUCAAGAAAGGGCCCCACAGACCUACCUACUGGCUAAUCUAUUGAAGCAUUUCCUCAACUGAAGUUCCUCUUCCCAGAUUUGCCAAGUUGACAACAUGACGAACCAGGACAACAUCCUUUAAAGAUUAUCUUCCACAGAUUUCAGGGUUUUCUUGGUAUUUUGUUUUUUGUUUGUAUCUUAACAUGACUGUUGUAGAAGUGCUACAUAUUCAAUUUAUAAUUUAACUUCUCUCAAAUAAAUUCAUUUGCUUUAAAUCAACAUAAAUUAUGACAUUUGUAGAGACUUGAUAAUGAUUUCAACUUAUAAUUCUCUAAGUAAAAGGAGUAUUUAGCCAGUUAUUUAGUAUUUGGUCAUGUAUUUUCAGAUUUAAUGACAUAGCUUAAUGGAUGGUGCUUAAAUUUUUUGAUUUAUUUAGUAGUGAGUAAAAUUAUAUGACUUCUCUGAAAAAUAGAGUUUACAUUGCAUUUAUAAUCAAUUCCAAUUAAAGUAAAAUAUACAACUAAUUAUAGAAAUAUUUAUGAUGGGAAAUCUAAUAGCAGUGAGUCCUUAGUUUUAUUGUAAUGCAUGGCUUGACUUUUAAAAUAAAGUAACCUUUUAUUUUAAUUAUUAAAUAAUAUUAUAACAUCAGCAUCAUCCCAUGUUACCAAUGAGUGUUAUUAAUAGAUACUCAUAACAUCCUUAGAACUCCCUAAAUUAUCACAACUCAGCUAUUGUAAUAUAGACAAGAGCCAUGUGUGCUUAGAGUCUCCAACUUCUCAUAUCUGAAGAAACAACAGAAGUACCUUCAUCAUUCAUUCAGCCAUUAUUAAAAUUAAAUGUUAGGAGUACAGGUAACUUCAAAACAGUAGUUGAAUAUGGUGUUUAAUUGAAGUAACAUUAGAUUUUUUCAAUGUAUUUAUAUAUAUAUAUAAGUAUAUAUAUAUAUAUAUAUAUAUAUAUAUAUAUGGUAUUUUCCUGUAGUCUAAACUGACCAGGGAAUCACUGUAUAGCUCAAGCUGGACUUGUUCAUCUUAACCUCCCACAUAUUGGAGUAAAAAGUGUGUGACACUAAUUACUGAGCUUCUAAGUAGAAUUAUCACAGUAAAUCUUUUCAGAAACAUGUGAACAUACACUACCAUUUUGGAAAUGUGUCCCUGUGAUAGAUUUAAAGUAUCUAUUAUAACUUCCUUCUCACGGGCACACUUUGGGAAAAUUUUCCCUCAUGUUGACUGUGGGCUUAAGGUGUAACUUGCAUUGGUCAAUGAGACAUUAACAAAUGUGAAAGAGCUGGGCCUUUAAAAAUGUAUUCAUGUAUUUGGGACUCGACCAUUUUCACUGCCAUGGAGAAAACUGUAAUCACUAUGAGGAGAACCAGUCUACUAUGGUCUGCUGGAUGAUAAGUGGGACAUGACCCAGUUAUCUCUAUUGUCUUUGCAAACAGGCAGCCAGUCACCACACAUGGGAGUGAGGUCAUCAACCCCUCAGUGCCUGUUUUAUGCACAUGAACCCCAUCAAUGCCUCUUGGAACUGAAAUGCAGCCCAGGAGAGUUGAACUAAAGCUGAUGACCCAUAGAAUUAUAAACAUAAUUGGUGUUGUUUAAUGCCACUCAGUUCAGUUCAGGAGUGGUUUGUUAUACAGUAGAAGCUAAUUGCCAGCAUCCCUGGCAGGGGAAUAUUCAUAAUUUAAAAUGUAGCCAGUGUUUUAAAUUUCUAUUCCUAAAUAAAAAUACUAGUUUACUAGUAAGAUAUUAUCAAGAGGAUUAAAUUAUUAAUACAACUAAUGAAUUGAAACUGUUCCUAUUUGGUUUCACCCCAUAAUAAACAUUGGACAAUAGCAUUGAUGUAUGAAAAUAGAAACCUCCAGAAACAGUAACACAAAAGCUUUUCCUUUUGUGCUUAAACUGAGUAGCAGAGAAUUUUCUGUAUUAUGCUUAUUUAUUCAUUUAUAUACUUUUUAGUUUAA